GGGCGUGUAACGCAGUGGUAGCGUGCCUCAUUCGCAGGAUUAGCUAAGCUUACGUAAUUUGCUUACGUAAUCUUGAGGAAGCCGUGGGUUCAAUUCCCACCUCGUCCA
Tulasnella sp. 418 is the source of this 108-nucleotide non-coding RNA. NCBI's taxonomy places the organism in Eukaryota, Fungi, Basidiomycota, Agaricomycetes, Cantharellales, Tulasnellaceae. The record is from the annotation of a GenBank genome assembly.